RNAcentral lists this unclassified non-coding RNA (391 nucleotides) under soil metagenome. RNAcentral describes it as "partial contains 5.8S ribosomal RNA, internal transcribed spacer 2, and large subunit ribosomal RNA". The stretch from base 1 to 122 matches the Rfam family "5.8S ribosomal RNA", at positions 35 to 154 of the family's 154-position model. The record is from RNAcentral.
GAUGGAGAACGUAGCGAAAUGCGAUACUUGGUGUGAAUUGCAGAAUCCCGUGAACCAUCGAGUCUUUGAACGCAAGUUGCGCCCGAAGCCACUAGGCCGAGGGCACGCCUGCCUGGGCGUCACACGCCGUUGCCCCCCCAUCUACUCCUUCGGGAUUGCGGGGGGGCGGAUGAUGGCCUCCUGUGCGCCUAGCCGCGCGGUUGGCAUAAAUACCAAGUCCUCGGCGACGCACGCCACGACAAUCGGUGGUUGCGAAACCUCGGUUGCCCGUCGUGUGCGUUCGUCGCGCAUCGAGGGCUCGAAAAAAUGCUCGGCUCCGGCUGGGCUUUCAACGCGACCCCAGGUCAGGCGGGGUUACCCGCUGAAUUUAAGCAUAUCAAUAAGCGGAGGA